UGGGGAAUAUUGCACAAUGGGCGCAAGCCUGAUGCAGCCAUGCCGCGUGUAUGAAGAAGGCCUUCGGGUUGUAAAGUACUUUCAGCGAGGAGGAAGGCGUUGUGGUUAAUAACCGCAACGAUUGACGUUACUCGCAGAAGAAGCACCGGCUAACUCCGUGCCAGCAGCCGCGGUAAUACGGAGGGUGCAAGCGUUAAUAGGAAUUACUGGGCGUAAAGCGCACGCAGGCGGUCUGUCAAGUCGGAUGUGAAAUCCCCGGGCUCAACCUGGGAACUGCAUUCGAAACUGGCAGGCUAGAGUCUUGUAGAGGGGGGUAGAAUUCCAGGUGUAGCGGUGAAAUGCGUAGAGAUCUGGAGGAAUACCGGUGGCGAAGGCGGCCCCCUGGACAAAGACUGACGCUCAGGUGCGAAAGCGUGGGGAGCAAACA
RNAcentral lists this ribosomal RNA (427 nucleotides) under uncultured bacterium. RNAcentral describes it as "partial 16S ribosomal RNA". It matches the Rfam family "Bacterial small subunit ribosomal RNA", at positions 355 to 774 of the family's 1533-position model. The record is from RNAcentral.